This is a long non-coding RNA of Neopsephotus bourkii (Bourke's parrot), 1026 nucleotides long. RefSeq lists it as uncharacterized. NCBI's taxonomy places the organism in Eukaryota, Metazoa, Chordata, Aves, Psittaciformes, Psittacidae. The transcript is spliced from 5 exons. The record is from RefSeq and is a predicted model, not a curated record.
AGGCAGUCCUUGUGCCAUAUUUUCUUUUGUUCUGCAGGGGCACUGAGUCUAGUUGUAGGAUCUGUAGCACCACCCUCUUACCCCAGAGUCAUCAAGUAUGCAGUCCUGCAGAUUUCAGAAAGACUGUUUGCACUGGUGAUGAGCAGCCUGUUCUUACGUAUUUGCUUGAUUUGGAGACUAAAUCAAGAACGCUGCCAUAAAGUUAAUGAACAGCAAGUGCCAGUCAACUACAGAUUUUUUCAAAGGAAAGCCUGCAAAGUGAAAAAGAUGCCCUCAAACCAUCUGACUGCAGAUAGACUAAGGGGAUAUUAGACCAGGUGGCUACAGAUAGGUGUAAUAAGAAGGGCACUGGGCAUGCAAACCAACACAGCUGAAGACUGGAACCAUCCAUUGCAAUCCCUGACACAGCAAUGGUCACCACAAGCUGGUCUUCUGUGCAAGAAGCUAACCAAUUAAAGAAGGAUUUACUGCAAGAGAGGCAGGAGGAUUCCAACAAGGCAUUGGAGACUGUCGUGGCUUAAACCCAGUCGGUAACUAAGUACCAUGCAGCCACUUGCUCACCCCACUGGGCAGGAUGGGAUGGAGAAUUGAAAGAAUGUAAAACCCACAGGUUGAGCAAAUUCCAUACUUACACAAUGCUUGCUUGUCCCAGUCUAUCAGAACACCUAGUGUUUUCCAAACUCUGGUAGAAGUUAAAUGUUCCUUUUAUUCUGCAGCUAAAGAGGAGAAAUAAAUAAAUUUAAAUAUGCCAUGGCCUCACAGAGGGCCAACUUCAAAGUCAGAGUCAGCUUUUAACUUGGAACAGAUUGCUCAGGACUGUAUUCAGUCAAGUUCUGAAUAUCUCUGAGGAUGGAGACUGCACAACCACUGGGCACCUGUACCCACAUUUGACCACUCUUAUGGUCUUCCUCAUUUCCUGGCUACGAAAGGCAUAGAUCAAAGGAUCAAUCACUGAGUUGCACAUAAUGAGAAUGAGGUACAUGUUGAAGUGAGACAUGAAGCAAACACAGUAGAGGUUUUGAGGGC